GGAUUAGUGAGUUUUUUCAUAAGACAAAAUUCAAAAAGAUUAAUGGAUCUUUACUGAAAUGAAAUUCAAAUACGAGUAUUUGUCAGUUGCAUAAUAUGCACUGCUAUUUUAAUGUUCCACAAAAUUUUCCAUUUUUACAGGCCAUUACUGAGUCUUAUAAUUUAUUUAGACCUGUUCUGUUGUGUAGAGUGUCACAUUUGUUUUCAUUAGUAAGUAUAAACACACUAGUUAAAAGUGAAAUUGCUUAUACCUGUACUGAUAAGUGCCACCAGUAGAGGGCGGCAGUGAGGCACUAGAAAGAAGAACCAACUUUACUGUCAGAAAUUGCAGAAAACCGUCAAGAUGGGGGUUGAUGUGAAUGACGGCAAACAUUUGUUGGUGUUGGCAUCCUCAUUAACACCCAGACUGGCUUAUUUUAUGGGCCAGAAGCUUUGACAUAAACAUUGUCACAGAAUUUUCAGAUAAUCUGAUAAUGUACUUAUAAAGCAAAUUUUGUGGAAAUUUCUGGUAAGACUGAUGAGAAUCAACAUUAAGAGAUAUUCUAAAAAUUUUACAUUAUUUCAAAGAGACAAGAGUAUGAAUUAAAAUUAAGCAUGCUGUUCUUGUCACUUCAAGAGUGUAGGCAGAGAAUUUAAUACUUUAGAGAUGACAAAAGGCAUCUUACCUUCUUUGAACACUACAGAUAUCCCUGAAAUAAAAAGAAAUAUUUCCAACUUAUCAACAGUAAGCAAUGCACAGGAUUAAUCAACAAGAUAGGUUACCCAGAUUUAGCUUGCAUCUGCUUUUAUAAACAUUUAACAACAACAAAUAUUUUUUGAGCACCUACUAUGUGCUAGGAGUUAUUCAAGGUACUGAGGUUAUAGAAGGGAACAAAACAAACUCAUUUCCUGCCUUCUUGGAGUUUAAAUUAUAGUGAGGAAGACAGAUAUUAAACAAAGCUGCAUAAUUAAUUCAUUAGUUACAA
RNAcentral lists this long non-coding RNA (964 nucleotides) under Homo sapiens (human). RNAcentral's name for it is "non-protein coding lnc-AP1AR-1:1". Lineage: Eukaryota; Metazoa; Chordata; Mammalia; Primates; Hominidae. The record is from RNAcentral.